AGGAUGAUCAUUUCAGAUAAUCUUUAUGCUGACUACACACUACUAUUGUGUGAAGCAGAUAAGGAACAAUUUCUCCAUCUUAGAGGAAUUCUGUUAGCUUUUGAAGCUGUUUCAGGUAUAUAAGCGAACCUUGCCAAAAGUAUUCUGUUCAGUGUUAAUGCAGACAGUAGUACUAAUGAAUGAUCUGUAAACUAGGGUCAGAAUGUCAAAUUGAAGGUUGGAACUUGUUAAUGGAAAAAAAAUCAGGUUGUGGACUGAUGUUUUGUUGGGAAAUUAAGAUUGCUGGACAUAUUCCUUAUUUUGUGUAGUUUAACUAGACAAUGUACAGUUGCUGAAUGUUAUACUGGGACAGUUCCGAAUUUCAAUUUCAGGAGAAAUUUCAAUGAUUGGAAAAUAAAUGAAGUUAGUCCAUUAUUGCUUUAUUAGGAACCUCUGAUUCUUGAUGCCAAUAGGCUUGACACUCAGAUUUGGACAGCAGGUAAGGAUGGCAAAUUGUUUGUUAAAGCUGCUAUAAUACGUUAUAGAUACAAACUGCAUUUUUUGGGGAAAAUAUGAUCCAAAUGUAUUACGAUAGGGUGGUUAUACUUAGAAAUUGAAAUGGAGGGUAGAUGUAGCUUAUUUUCGAUAUUAAGACUUGAGCCUCCCUUUCAAGGUCUCAAGUUCGAAACCCACUGGGUGCAAACAAUUUCUAAGGGUCAUCGGAUUGGGUAAAAUCUAAAUUAACCGUGGUGCACUUGCGGGAAUAUCCUUGCCGAGGGCCUGUGCACUCGCGGGAUUAGUCGGGGCUCUUAGAGACUCGAACACCCGGUGCAAAUCAAAAAAGGGGCAAAUAUGGCCCUUAAGAUUUUUUUAUAUUUUCUGGGUGUUUCAGGGAUGUUGCUGCAACAGCUAUGCUGCAACUUUUUAUUUUUGUACUUCAAUGAAAUUCCUUAUAUCUCAUUAGCUCUCUAACUUGGUUGUUAUCACUUAACUUAGGCUGAAGCUCAGGAAGAUGUAAUUUGCAAUGUAUUAAAGCGCUGUGAUGUUGCUGAAGCCCUAUGCACUGCAGCAGAAGAAAGGGUAAACCAACCAUUUUUUGAUCUUCCAAUUUGGGCACAUUCGCCUCGCAGUCUUAUAAAAUCAUUAGGUGAAGAAUAACUAUGAGAAUGACACUAGAGAAAACAGUUGAGUUUUGCUGGCAUUCACAGAAUGUUGCUAAGUUGAAUUGUAUUGCAAGUUUGCUAAAGUGGUUGCAAGCUCAACUUGGCCCAAGCUUCAUGAGUGAACCACCUAAAGAACUAUAUACAGCGUGUUUCUUAGGUGACUGAUGGAGCGAUAACAACCAGGAGGUUGGCUGGUUACAAAUACAGCUUUGUCAUAUUUUGGCGUGUUUAUAUUAGUAACAUAUUGUUGUACAUAUUCUGAAGGAAUGCAAAACUAAAUGGAAGUUCAUCAACUUUGCGUUUGCCUUGUGCUUUUGUGUAGGAUAGUUAGAUGAGAGAAUUACAUGAUAACUAUUCUAUAUUAUUGGGACAGUUUUCAUGUUC
Nicotiana tabacum (common tobacco) is the source of this 1526-nucleotide non-coding RNA. The record is from RefSeq and is a predicted model, not a curated record. NCBI's taxonomy places the organism in Eukaryota, Viridiplantae, Streptophyta, Magnoliopsida, Solanales, Solanaceae.